CAAGUUGUCAUCGAUUUUUUUUUCAAUAAAACGUAAACUAAUGUGAUUGGCCAUGGUGGAUAUAUGGACAACAACAACAACAACCAAUCUAAUGCAAUUCCAAUAAUGCCAAUUGUGGCUAAAUAUAUUCAAAUAUAAUUCAACGAAUUUUUUUUCCAGAAUGAAUUUCAAAAACAAUCAUAAAUGAAUUCAUCAACCAAUCACUCAAUGACGAUUGUAUAUACCAUUUAUUCAUCAUAAUCGAUUUCAAAAUGAUAAUUAACUAAAUAAUUGCCUACAUGAACAGGUGAAUUAUUGUUAUCAACUAUAGUAUGUCUAUCGAUUUUUUAUUUAUUUCUUGUUUGUCAUUUACUAUGACAAAUCCGGUUUUUUUUAUUUGAUGAAAAAUUUUCAAUGAUUGAUUUUUCGAACAACAACUUACAAACGACGACGAACAAACAUUGCAUCAAAGGACAAAGAAAGGACAAAUUUCAAUUCAUGUAGCUGUUUUUGAUCGAUCAUACGAAUGAAUGAAUGUUUAUAUGAUGGUAAUAAUAGUGACAGCCUGUUUUGGUGUGCAUACCUUUUCGAUUUUCUGGUGGUUUUUUCUCCAUCUGUCCAUUUGCCUCUAAUUUUAUCCCCAAUGCAUCCAUCCAUUCAUUCAAUCAUACAAAAUGUCUGUCAUCAUCCAAAUGAAUGGCUUUCUGUUUGUCAUCAUCAUCAUUAUCAUCAUCAUCAUCAUCAUCAAAAAGAUGAUUUUGGAAAAAGGAAGAAAGACGAAUGAGAAAAAAAAAUUCAUCGAAAAGAUCCAUAAUUUUGAUGAUAAAUUUAUCUGUCAUUCAUUACAAGAAAUGAAAAUGAUUUCAAGAUAUGAUUGAUCAAUAUUAAUGAUUGGCUUCGAAUUUACAAUUACAACAAAUUCAAUUGAUUAAUUUGAUUUUUGUCAUGAAAAAAAAAAUUGACAGCAAUUUUUUCUCACCUGAAAAUGAAAUGAGCCAAUUCAUUCCAUCCUGAAAAUUUUUAAAAUUUCCCUCAUCCUGAUUGUCAUUGUGGUAUGAUAAAUUUUUUUACACCAUUCAAAAUGAUGAACGAUGAAAGGAAGUGACAUUUUUUUCCAUAAUCAAAUCAAUGGACAAUGACAAAAUGUUCAUUUAGGACUAUUGGAAAAAAAAUUGGAUUGAAACCAAUUGAAUCUAUCACAAUGUGAAUAUAAAUGUCAUCCAAAUGUAUGAUUAUCGGUUGAAUGGCAACCAAUGUGUUUGUUCCAAAAUGGCAUUUAUUUUUACAUCAAACAUUACCUCUUAUUAUUUGACAUUCAAAAAAAAAAACAGAACAGAACGAUUGAUUUUUUCAAAUUCCAACCAUAUGACAAUGGCUAAAAAUUGUUCAAUGAAAAAAGAUUUGGCAAACCCAUUUAUUGUUAACACGAUUUUAUUCAUCAUAUUUAUCCAGAUCUAUAUAUAAAUAUCGUCAUCGAGAAUCGAUUGUCAGGAAGUUUAUACAACAAAAAAUAAAUAUUAUCAAAAGCUAAAUUUGGAAAACAAAACAAAACAAAAAAAAAAAACUAUGAAGGUCAUGUCAUAUAAUGACAUAAUAAUAAAUAUAUACUUCAAUUGUGUAAGCAAAUAUCGUUAGUAAAUAAGAUCAACCAUUGAAAAUUGAUGUCCAUUUGAUGUUUGCGUGUGUGUGUUUUU
Non-coding RNA from Dermatophagoides farinae (American house dust mite), 1673 nucleotides. Lineage: Eukaryota; Metazoa; Arthropoda; Arachnida; Sarcoptiformes; Pyroglyphidae. The record is from RefSeq and is a predicted model, not a curated record.